RNAcentral lists this long non-coding RNA (1006 nucleotides) under Zonotrichia albicollis (white-throated sparrow). RNAcentral's name for it is "lncRNA (ENSZALG00000003519.1)". Lineage: Eukaryota; Metazoa; Chordata; Aves; Passeriformes; Passerellidae. The record is from RNAcentral.
GUUCUGACAUUUCAUGCAGAUUAUGAAGUGCUGGCCGAAGGGCAGCUGGAACUCAGGUCUGGAUGGGAGGCAGCAGCUGCCCCGUGCCAGCCAGAGGCCUCAGCACAGAGCUUCAGAACCUGCAGAUUCUGCCUGGUUUUCAGGAGGGAAUGGCCCUUUUCCUGGAGCAGUCCAGUCACAGGCAUGCAGGAGUCAGUGUCUGCACUUCUCAAAAAUUCUUCUGACAGCAGGUACAGCCAUUUGCUUCCAUUAUUUCUGCAAGCUGCAAAUGACCUCACCUUUUAAAGCAUGCAUUUGCCUGAAGAGCAAGAUUAAUGUAGCAGGAUUGUUAGUGCAUCUGAUUGUCUUCUACCUUUCCACAUGAAGACUUGUUGGUGACUAAUAACAGAGAAGCUUCUCAGCCUGUCCUGAGUGGGAACAUGAUUCUUCUUCCUGUUGUUUGUGAUGUUUGUGGUGUUGAUAAACCUGUUUGGAAAUAUCUUGCAUUCAGCUUAAGGAUGCUGAUUAAUGUUAUUUCCAGAAAAAAAUUGCUUUCAUACCUGUUAUGAAGUUUCCCUGUUAACAUCAGUUUGAUGUGAAACUUUACUAAACUCAGGAGCUUCCAAUUCAGAAUAUUCUGUUAUUUUCUGUAACUCAGGGGAAUUAUCCACCUUUGAGGCCUGCACCCCAAAAUGCUCAGGUGGGAACACACAGACAGGGGUGCAUCCCAACAGCUGUAAGAAGGUUAAUGUGAUGUGACUGUGCUCAGGAAAUGAGAUUUUUCCCUGAGAGCUCCUCGGCUGCUGGCUGGAUCUGCAGGACACACUGCCCUCCCUUGGCCGUGGAUGGGCUGUGGAUCUGGGCUGGGGAACCUGCCUUUCCUGAGCAUCCCUGGGCUGGGGAAACUGCCUUUCCUGAGCAUCCCUAAGGAACCUGCCUUUCCUGAGCAUCCCUGGGCCCAGGGAAGGUCACUGGAACCUGCUUUGUGCUGUGAUUUAUAAACUCAGAGGUUCAGACUUUGUAGGUG